Molecule: ribosomal RNA, 484 nt
Filed under: uncultured bacterium
Lineage: Bacteria
Description: bacterial SSU rRNA
Rfam family: Bacterial small subunit ribosomal RNA
Source: RNAcentral
GAUGAACGCUAGCGGCAGGCUUAAUACAUGCAAGUCAAGGGGUCAGCAAUGACACCGGCGGACGGGUGAGUAACGCGUACACAACGUACCUUUAACUGGGGGAUAGCAUUUGGAAACGAGUGGUAAUACCGCAUGUGGUUGUAGGGAGGCAUCUUUUUGCAACUAAAACUCAGGUGGUUAAAGAUCGGUGUGCGUCCGAUUAGCUUGUUGGUGAGGUAAUGGCUCACCAAGGCGACGAUCGGUAGGGGGCGUGAGAGCGUGAACCCCACACGGGUACUGAGACACGGACCCGACUCCUACGGGAGGCAGCAGUAAGGAAUAUUGGUCAAUGGAGGCAACUCUGAACCAGCCAUGCCGCGUGAAGGAAGAAGGCGCUAUGCGUUGUAAACUUCUUUUGGGUGGGAAGAAAAUGGUCAAUUUAUUGGCAACUGACGGUACCAUCAGAAUAAGCACCGGCUAACUCCGUGCCAGCAGCCGCGGUAAU